Molecule: long non-coding RNA, 427 nt
Organism: Tachysurus fulvidraco (yellow catfish)
Lineage: Eukaryota; Metazoa; Chordata; Actinopteri; Siluriformes; Bagridae
Exons: 4
Source: RefSeq, a predicted model, not a curated record
AUUUCAGGAUUACUCUCAUCUCCCCAUAGGAGACGGAAGCCAAACCGAUAAUUAUGUUCACCCUGAUUGAAAAAGGAGGAUCAAUAAAGAUCACUGCCGUGUUUUUGGAGCAUCCAUCAAAUGUCGUAAUCUGGGAGUGUGGCUCUUACACCGCCUCCACCGCCAGCACCUACCCCACCCAUCCUCAAGCGCAGUGUGCUUGACGAGGACAGCUGAGGCGCAGCCCGUCGGAGGGAGAGACUUCAGAGCCAGUUUUAGAUAUACAGUACAACAGGCUGAAACACCGGGAACGUUGCAUGCAGGCAGAGAACACAUGAGUCUACAGCUCUGAAGAAAUUGCUGAAAUUGAACAUGUCAUCACGUGAAGGGAGCUUAUGGAAAUGCAAUCGAGGGCUCAGUAAAAAUAAAAUAAAAAAAUAAUACCACC